This 131-nucleotide small RNA is filed under the name Marmota monax (woodchuck). The record is from RNAcentral. Lineage: Eukaryota; Metazoa; Chordata; Mammalia; Rodentia; Sciuridae.
GCUGGGUGUGGUGGCGCACACCUGUAAUCCCAGCUGCUCAGAAGGCUGAGGCAGGAUGAUUACAAGUUCAAAGUCAGCCAGCCUCAGCAAGUUAUCGAGACUCUAAGCAAUUUAAUGAGACCCUGUCUCAA